UCCGAGUUGACCCCGGCAGUCUCCUAUGAGUCCACGGCAUAACCCGCUGGCAACAUAGAACGAGGGUUGCGCUCGUUGCGGGACUUAACCCAACAUCUCACGACACGAGCUGACGACAACCAUGCACCACCUGUGCACGACCCUUGCGGACCCACCAUCUCUGGAGGAUUUCCGUGCAUGUCAAGCCUAGGUAAGGUUCUUCGCGUUGCGUCGAAUUAAACCACAUGCUCCACCGCUUGUGCGGGCCCCCGUCAAUUCCUUUGAGUUUCAACCUUGCGGUCGUACUCCCCAGGCGGGGUACUUCCUGCGUUAGCGCCGGCACCCAGGGGGUCGCUCCCCCAGGCACCUAGUACCCAUCGUUUACGGCGUGGACUAC
This 376-nucleotide unclassified non-coding RNA is filed under the name uncultured bacterium. RNAcentral's name for it is "contains 16S-23S intergenic spacer region". The record is from RNAcentral.